RNAcentral lists this ribosomal RNA (193 nucleotides) under uncultured bacterium. RNAcentral's name for it is "partial 16S ribosomal RNA". It matches the Rfam family "Bacterial small subunit ribosomal RNA", at positions 338 to 523 of the family's 1533-position model. The record is from RNAcentral.
CCUACGGGAGGCAGCAGUCGAGAAUCUUUAGCAAUGGGGGAAACCCUGACUAUGCGACGCCGCGUGAGCGAUGAAGAUCUUCGGAUUGUAAAGCUCUGUCAGCCCUGAAAAAUAUCAUCACGUUAACAGCGUGAUGGCUUGAUUGUAAGGGCAGAGGAAGCCACGGCUAACUCCGUGCCAGCAGCCGCGGUGG